Molecule: transfer RNA, 128 nt
Filed under: Annulohypoxylon nitens
Lineage: Eukaryota; Fungi; Ascomycota; Sordariomycetes; Xylariales; Hypoxylaceae
Description: tRNA-Ala
Rfam family: tRNA
About the family: Transfer RNA (tRNA) molecules are approximately 80 nucleotides in length. Their secondary structure includes four short double-helical elements and three loops (D, anti-codon, and T loops).
Source: RNAcentral
GGGCUUGUGGUUUAGUGGUAUAAUACUCCCUUAGCACCUUUAGAUGCAACGUCGUACUGUUCUUCAGUAAGAAAUCAGCUCUAAUAAUUGUCUGGGAGUGGUCCGGGGUUCGAUUCCCCGCGAGUCCA